UGCAAGCCGAGCGGUAGAGAUCUUUCGGGAUCUUGAGAGCGGCGUACGGGUGCGGAACACGUGUGCAACCUGCCUUUAUCAGGGGGAUAGCCUUUCGAAAGGAAGAUUAAUACCCCAUAAUAUAUCGAGUGGCAUCAUUUGAUAUUGAAAACUCCGGUGGAUAGAGAUGGGCACGCGCAAGAUUAGAUAGUUGGUGAGGUAACGGCUCACCAAGUCUGCGAUCUUUAGGGGGCCUGAGAGGGUGAUCCCCCACACUGGUACUGAGACACGGACCAGACUCCUACGGGAGGCAGCAGUGAGGAAUAUUGGACAAUGGGUGCGAGCCUGAUCCAGCCAUCCCGCGUGAAGGAUGACGGCCCUAUGGGUUGUAAACUUCUUUUGUAUAGGGAUAAACCUACCCUCGUGAGGGUAGCUGAAGGUACUAUACGAAUAAGCACCGGCUAACUCCGUGCCAGCAGCCGCGGUAAUACGGAGGGUGCAAGCGUUAUCCGGAUUUAUUGGGUUUAAAGGGUCCGUAGGCGGAUCUGUAAGUCAGUGGUGAAAUCUCACAGCUUAACUGUGAAACUGCCAUUGAUACUGCAGGUCUUGAGUGUUGUUGAAGUAGCUGGAAUAAGUAGUGUAGCGGUGAAAUGCAUAGAUAUUACUUAUAACACCAAUUGUAAAGGCAGGGUACUAAUUAACAACUGAAGC
This 690-nucleotide ribosomal RNA is filed under the name Bacillus aerophilus. RNAcentral's name for it is "bacterial SSU rRNA". It matches the Rfam family "Bacterial small subunit ribosomal RNA", at positions 56 to 746 of the family's 1533-position model. Lineage: Bacteria; Bacillati; Bacillota; Bacilli; Caryophanales; Bacillaceae. The record is from RNAcentral.